Molecule: long non-coding RNA, 804 nt
Organism: Psammomys obesus (fat sand rat)
Lineage: Eukaryota; Metazoa; Chordata; Mammalia; Rodentia; Muridae
Exons: 2
Source: RefSeq, a predicted model, not a curated record
CUCUGUGGGACACCCCCAUCAUUGAAGUGGACCUUCCCUCAUACCUGAUAUCUACCCAAUCCUGUCAUUGCUGUGUCAGACCUCCUCUGCCUCCCCGGUAUUGUUUAAUAGUUGGUGCCCUUCACACCUCCCCAGUACUUCUGCCCCCAAGACCAGUGAUAGGCUGGGGAGGACCAGAAACGGUUGGAGACCUAAGCAGCCCCACCAUGGGCCCCUCACCUUGGGGCUCCAGCUCUGCCCUUUCUCCAGCACCAUCAAGCAGGUAUCGUCCUCCAGCAUCUGGAAGAAGUCUUCACUCUCCACGGCGGUCCCGUCCUCCUCCAGCACCAGGGUUAGCACCCCACUCAGCAGCAGGGUCUCCAGAACCUGCUCAGUGACAAGUGGCAGGAGGGAAGGGCGGGCCUUCUCCCUCGCCCCUCCUCUCUCUAGUCGGCCCAUCGGCCUUAGACAGUGUGUGCAUGUGAGUGCGUGGAGACCAGGAGAAGGCAUUGGAUCCUCUGGAGUGGAGUUACAUGGUUGUGAGCACAGGUGGGUGCUGGGAACUUGGCCUCAGUCCUUUGCUAAGCUGCUGAGCCAUCUCUCCAGUCCUACACCUCUGUCUGUGGAUACCACAGGAGAAGAUACAGGGAAAGUCUCCUCCACCUUUGGGGUUUGGGAGAGAAAAUCACCCAACCUCAAGAACAUUCCGUACAACACCACCCCCAGCCUGCUUCUCCACCUUGAGGCAGCCCGCUCCAGUCUGGAGUGUGCCGCUUACCUUUACUAACUAGAUUGGAAGUUUGCUAAAUAAACAUCUCAAAUUGU